Molecule: ribosomal RNA, 90 nt
Filed under: Azotobacter beijerinckii
Lineage: Bacteria; Pseudomonadati; Pseudomonadota; Gammaproteobacteria; Pseudomonadales; Pseudomonadaceae
Source: RNAcentral
CUUGACGACCAUAGAGCGUUGGAACCACCUGAUCCCAUCCCGAACUCAGCAGUGAAACGACGCAUCGCCGAUGGUAGUGUGGGGUUUCCC